This is a non-coding RNA of Pelobates cultripes (western spadefoot toad), 337 nucleotides long. NCBI's taxonomy places the organism in Eukaryota, Metazoa, Chordata, Amphibia, Anura, Pelobatidae. The record is from the annotation of a GenBank genome assembly.
GGGUAUGUAUCCAGACACCAAGGAUUCAUUAAUUAGAGUUGAGACGGAUUUAGCAAUUGCCGGCGCACUGAGCUUCAACAGCAUUGCUGGGAUUUGAUCGGGUCCGGACUGGUUUUUCAUUUUUAGAUUAUUAAGAUGUUUUUUAAUGACACUAAUAGGUACAGGUCUAAAAAUAAACGUAUCUAUAUUGGGCCUUUGCAAAUUUAGUGUGACCUGAUCCACAUUAGUAGUUUCAGGAUGCGUAUCAUUUAUUAGCUUGGCAAUCAGGGCAGUAGAGCAUCCGACAAAAUAAUUGUUAAAGGCAUUUGCUACAUCUAAGGGAAGUUGCAGGGUUUGG